GAAACGCACCGGGGGUGUCUGCAUCUGCUUCAGCACUGGCUUAUUGGGCCAGGGCAAGAGCAGGUCAGGCUGAGAAAGUCCCUUCGCACCUGAACAGGAUAAUGCCUGCGUAGGGAGUGUGCAUUUUCUUGUUU
This 134-nucleotide non-coding RNA is filed under the name Daucus carota (carrot). RNAcentral describes it as "TPP sequence". It matches the Rfam family "TPP riboswitch aptamer (THI element)". From Rfam's summary of the family: Vitamin B(1) in its active form thiamin pyrophosphate (TPP) is an essential coenzyme that is synthesised by coupling of pyrimidine and thiazole moieties in bacteria. The previously detected thiamin-regulatory element, thi box was extended, resulting in a new, highly conserved RNA secondary structure, the THI element, which is widely distributed in eubacteria and also occurs in some archaea. Analysis of operon structures identified a large number of new candidate thiamin-regulated genes, mostly transporters, in various prokaryotic organisms. The record is from RNAcentral. Lineage: Eukaryota; Viridiplantae; Streptophyta; Magnoliopsida; Apiales; Apiaceae. RNAcentral also lists the same sequence under 1 other name.